Monodelphis domestica (gray short-tailed opossum) is the source of this 791-nucleotide long non-coding RNA. RefSeq lists it as uncharacterized. NCBI's taxonomy places the organism in Eukaryota, Metazoa, Chordata, Mammalia, Didelphimorphia, Didelphidae. The record is from RefSeq and is a predicted model, not a curated record.
GGCAGUUAUUCAUUAGCAAGUCUGAAUAUGAAUAUUGUUUGAGCCAUCAACUGCCAGAAGCCCUUAAUGACACGUUCAGCCAGGGGACAGUCUAAUUCGAGAGGCACGAAGCCUCCCCCCCAAUAUCCCAUCAGCACUCCGCUGUUGUCACGGCACCUUCUGAGAGCUGUGCUCUUUGGGAUCACUCCUAGUUGUACAUGACAGUCUUCAAAUAGCUGGAUCAGAAUGGUCUAUGUCACCUGCCAGGAGGAGUGUUAUUACUACUGACUCCUGGGCUUGAUAGCAGACACUGAGUGCCCUUAAAUUAAUUCACCUUUAGACAAAUUUCAUAGUGUUUAAUGGGAUGUACAAUGCCACGCUUUGCAUUUCAGAAGUGGCCUAGAAAAUUCUUUGGGGGAUUCUGAAAUUCUCUAUUCCUGUGACCUCAGAAAGAGCGCUGGGCUGUGAGGUGAGCCCCGGUGGGAGGACCCAGCCUGACCCCAGCAAGCUCUGCGCUUCUUCCUCCCUAACAUCUCUUGCCGAUCCUCACAACAAAAGUCCUUUUAAUCACCUGGGCAACGGUUCAUGGAACACUGAAUGUAAAAAGCCAAGACUUGAACCAAGGCCAUCUUCCUCCAGGUACCUCUAAAUAUAUGAUUUCCAGUGGACAAGGAUGUGGUUUUCAGCAGUUGUCUAUAUUCAGACAAAGAGUCAAAUUUGGGCAAUUCAGGUAAGUGCAAAAUUUCAGCUAAGUAGUCAACUCAGUGUUAUAAGGAAAAUGCCCUGGAUCUGGGAGAAAGAGCUCCUGAGUU